This 65-nucleotide transfer RNA is filed under the name Palaemon serenus. Its description in RNAcentral is "tRNA-Tyr". The record is from RNAcentral. Lineage: Eukaryota; Metazoa; Arthropoda; Malacostraca; Decapoda; Palaemonidae.
GAGCAGGUGGCUGAUUAAAGGCGAUAAAUUGUAAAUUUAUACAUGGGAAGUUCUCUCCCUGUUUA